Molecule: ribosomal RNA, 184 nt
Filed under: uncultured Anaerolineaceae bacterium
Lineage: Bacteria; Bacillati; Chloroflexota; Anaerolineae; Anaerolineales; Anaerolineaceae
Description: partial 16S ribosomal RNA
Rfam family: Bacterial small subunit ribosomal RNA
Source: RNAcentral
CCUUUAUAGCCCAGGGCUACACACAGCUACAAUGGUCUGUACAAUGGGUAGCCAAGCCGCGAGGCGGAGCCAAUCCUGAAAGCAGGCCUCAGUUCAGAUUGCAGUCUGCAACUCGACUGCAUGAAGCCGGAGUUGCUAGUAACCGCAGGUCAGCAAUACUGCGGUGAAUACGUUCCCGGGUCUU